RNAcentral lists this long non-coding RNA (599 nucleotides) under Trifolium pratense (red clover). RNAcentral's name for it is "long non-coding RNA (TPRA_LNC010330)". Lineage: Eukaryota; Viridiplantae; Streptophyta; Magnoliopsida; Fabales; Fabaceae. The record is from RNAcentral.
AUCUUGCUGUCAUUGAUGUGUUUGAUGUUGUGGAUAUGAUCAAGGCCCUGUUUCUUUUUGAGUGAUAACUACUUGGCCAAAUUUAACCUACCUUGUGAGAUAGUGAUCUUUUUGUGUCCCCUGUUGAGCCUUAAAUUUUGAAAAUUGUUUGUUAAACCCUGAAACCGAAAGAAUGGAAAAACAACUACUCUACCCUUGUCUUAGGAUAGGAGAGCAAUUGUACUUCAACUAGGGUUAUGAUAAGGUUUAAGUUGGGGAAAAGUAGGUUACAAAAGUUACAAAAAUAAAAUGGUUUGAAGAGUAGUUGAUUUGGUGAUUUGCAAAAAAAAAAAUAAAAAAAAUAAAAAAAAAUAAAAAAAUAAAAAAUAAUAAUCUCAUUGUGAAGAAAGAAAAGGAUCACCAAUGAAAUAGGGGAGAAAAGAAAAAGAAAGGGAGUAAAUGAAUGAAAAUUUUUAUAAGUUCUUUAAGUUUUAUUUUUGCUCUCUUAUCCUUGAGGCCUUUUGAAAUCCAAAGAAAAACAAUGAUUUUUUUUUAAGCCCAGCCCCGUUACAAGCUUUAUGAAGUCCUUAGUGAUCCACGACUGAUAGCAUGUUUUGUGA